RNAcentral lists this ribosomal RNA (253 nucleotides) under uncultured bacterium. Its description in RNAcentral is "partial 16S ribosomal RNA". It matches the Rfam family "Bacterial small subunit ribosomal RNA", at positions 524 to 776 of the family's 1533-position model. The record is from RNAcentral.
GACGAACCGAGCGAACGUUAUUCGGAAUCACUGGGCUUAAAGGGUGCGUAGGCGGGCGAUCAAGUCAGGGGUGAAAGCCUCCAGCUCAACUGGAGAAGUGCCUCUGAUACUGGUCGUCUCGAGGGAGGUAGGGGCGUGCGGAACUUCCGGUGGAGCGGUGAAAUGCGUAGAUAUCGGAAGGAACACCAGUGGCGAAAGCGGCGCGCUGGACCUCUUCUGACGCUGAGGCACGAAAGCCAGGGGAGCAAACGGG